This 154-nucleotide small RNA is filed under the name Muricomes intestini. RNAcentral describes it as "Clostridiales-1 RNA". It matches the Rfam family "Clostridiales-1 RNA". The record is from RNAcentral. Lineage: Bacteria; Bacillati; Bacillota; Clostridia; Lachnospirales; Lachnospiraceae.
UGAUACCAGGGUCAAAAGGUCAUGCGUUUCAUGCUUGCAUGAAAAAGCAUGACCUUGGGGCCCGCAAAACAUGAGAAAGCAGCCCGAGCAGGGCGGAUUUCGAAUGUUUUUAGGAUUGCGGGAGCACAAAGUGCGGAGCAAUCCGUAGGUAUCA